RNAcentral lists this long non-coding RNA (310 nucleotides) under Oryctolagus cuniculus (rabbit). RNAcentral describes it as "lncRNA (ENSOCUG00000038079.1)". The record is from RNAcentral. Lineage: Eukaryota; Metazoa; Chordata; Mammalia; Lagomorpha; Leporidae.
UUUAAGCAUCUUAUUUAUUGACUUUAAUUAUUUAUUUUGAUUUAAUAUUCAUUGCUAUAAACAAACAACUUUGUGUUUAUAUUCCAGUGACCCUAGUUUGGAAUCUGAUUCAUUCCUGAAUAGCUACCUUGAUAUGGACUCAGUAAAGGGCAAGAAGGUCCCAAUAAGAGAAAUUUUCUGGUUCCAUUAAGAUGCUGAUGAAUAAGAAUUUAGUAUUAAGUACAUAGGACUUGUCUUCUACAUAUACUGAUUGUGUCGUAGUGAGUCCAUAAUCCUUAUCAUUUGACUCAAUUAAAAUUACUCUGGGAAC